This 465-nucleotide ribosomal RNA is filed under the name uncultured bacterium. RNAcentral's name for it is "partial 16S ribosomal RNA". It matches the Rfam family "Bacterial small subunit ribosomal RNA", at positions 28 to 491 of the family's 1533-position model. The record is from RNAcentral.
GACGAACGCUGGCGGCGUGCUUAACACAUGCAAGUCGAACGGAAAGGCCCUGCUUUUGUGGGGUGCUCGAGUGGCGAACGGGUGAGUAACACGUGAGUAACCUGCCCUUGACUUUGGGAUAACUUCAGGAAACUGGGGCUAAUACCGGAUAGGAGCUCCUGCUGCAUGGUGGGGGUUGGAAAGUUUCGGCGGUUGGGGAUGGACUCGCGGCUUAUCAGCUUGUUGGUGGGGUAGUGGCUUACCAAGGCUUUGACGGGUAGCCGGCCUGAGAGGGUGACCGGCCACAGGGACGCAGAAAGGCGCCGAAGACUCCGGGGGGGAGCAGGGGGGGAAAAUUUCACACAGUGGGGGGGCGGUGUACGCAACCGCGCGGGGGGGGGGAAGGCCGUUUGGGGGUUAAACCCCGUUUCCGCGUGAGAAGAGGGGUGGGAGGGGAUAGGGGAAAAAGAACCCGCGGAACAACGG